Molecule: long non-coding RNA, 624 nt
Filed under: Fukomys damarensis (Damara mole-rat)
Lineage: Eukaryota; Metazoa; Chordata; Mammalia; Rodentia; Bathyergidae
Description: lncRNA (ENSFDAG00000024240.1)
Source: RNAcentral
GAGGUUAGGGCCCGUGGUGGAGCCCAGCCAAGCCCUUCCAGGCCUGCUUUCCUUGUGCAAAAGGAAAAGGUGCCUCGUCAUAAUGGCCUGUGGUUUGGGAGGUGGAGUCAGGUCCUGACUGGCACUGCGGCAGGCCAGGACACCUCCCUGGUGGAGAUCAAGAGGCCACUUUGCAGCAAUGCCCGGCAGCCCGUCACUCGUGCCUGGGGCCCUGUGGCACGCUGCGCUGAGUUAGGGCCUUUCAGAAAACAGGACCACUCACAUCCCCCAAGACCGAUACCAACCUGCACUGUGAAACACGGCAAUAUAAGAUGGACCAGGGUGUCUGAUUCAGGGACUGCUUGUUGCUGUUGUUGCUCCCCUCUGCCUUUCCUGAAAGGUGGGUUUCCCUCACAGAGACAAAACGGUGGCCUGACUUCCAGCUCUUCAAACUUUCAGUUGGAGACUGGCUGGGGCCUGAGAAUUCUGAUAAUGUUCCAGAAGUCUCAGUAUUAUUCAUAAGCUCCUUAUUCAGAGAUCAGAUGUUUAGCCACCAGGAUCUGUAAACAAGAGUGAAAAUGUUAUUAGCCAUAAUCAAAAAGCUCUAAGCCCCAUAAAUCUCACUUAGAAAAACUGCAGCUCUUA